Molecule: ribosomal RNA, 685 nt
Filed under: uncultured Pseudomonadota bacterium
Lineage: Bacteria; Pseudomonadati; Pseudomonadota
Description: bacterial SSU rRNA
Rfam family: Bacterial small subunit ribosomal RNA
Source: RNAcentral
AUUGAACGCUGGCGGCAGGCCUAACACAUGCAAGUCGAACGGUAACAGGAAACAGCUUGCUGUUUCGCUGACGAGUGGCGGACGGGUGAGUAAUGUCUGGGAAACUGCCUGAUGGAGGGGGAUAACUACUGGAAACGGUAGCUAAUACCGCAUAACGUCGCAAGACCAAAGAGGGGGACCCUCGGGCCUCUUGCCAUCGGAUGUGCCCAGAUGGGAUUAGCUUGUUGGUGGGGUAACGGCUCACCAAGGCGACGAUCCCUAGCUGGUCUGAGAGGAUGACCAGCCACACUGGAACUGAGACACGGUCCAGACUCCUACGGGAGGCAGCAGUGGGGAAUAUUGCACAAUGGGCGCAAGCCUGAUGCAGCCAUGCCGCGUGUAUGAAGAAGGCCUUCGGGUUGUAAAGUACUUUCAGCGGGGAGGAAGGGAGUAAAGUUAAUACCUUUGCUCAUUGACGUUACCCGCAGAAGAAGCACCGGCUAACUCCGUGCCAGCAGCCGCGGUAAUACGGAGGGUGCAAGCGUUAAUCGGAAUUACUGGGCGUAAAGCGCACGCAGGCGGUUUGUUAAGUCAGAUGUGAAAUCCCCGGGCUCAACCUGGGAACUGCAUCUGAUACUGGCAAGCUUGAGUCUCGUAGAGGGGGGUAGAAUUCCAGGUGUAGCGGUGAAAUGCGUAGAGAUCUGGA